Danionella cerebrum is the source of this 73-nucleotide non-coding RNA. Lineage: Eukaryota; Metazoa; Chordata; Actinopteri; Cypriniformes; Danionidae. The record is from the annotation of a GenBank genome assembly.
UUUGUCGUGGACUAGAGGAAAGGGUGAUUGACUGGAGAUCAAAAGGUCUCCGGUUCGAUCCCCAGCUCCACUG